CCUACGGGCGGCUGCAGUGGGGAAUAUUGGGCAAUGGACGCAAGUCUGACCCAGCAACGCCGCGUGAAGGAAGAAGGCUUUCGGGUUGUAAACUUCUUUUAAGGGGGAAGAGCAGAAGACGGUACCCCUUGAAUAAGCCACGGCUAACUACGUGCCAGCAGCCGCGGUAAUACGUAGGUGGCAAGCGUUGUCCGGAUUUACUGGGUGUAAAGGGCGUGCAGCCGGAGAGACAAGUCAGAUGUGAAAUCCACGGGCUCAACCCGUGAACUGCAUUUGAAACUGUUUCCCUUGAGUGUCGGAGAGGUAAUCGGAAUUCCUUGUGUAGCGGUGAAAUGCGUAAAUAUAUGUAAGAACACCAGUGGCGAAGGCGGCUUGCUGGGUCGAUACUGACAUUGAGGCACGAAAGCGUGGGGAGCAAACAGGAUUAGAUACCCGAGUAGUC
RNAcentral lists this ribosomal RNA (442 nucleotides) under uncultured bacterium. Its description in RNAcentral is "partial 16S ribosomal RNA". It matches the Rfam family "Bacterial small subunit ribosomal RNA", at positions 338 to 795 of the family's 1533-position model. The record is from RNAcentral.